UGUGCGAAGUGGCAUUCUGAAUGUGUGACAAGAGACCUAGAUCAAUGCAGAACUAAGAUAAUUCUGAUGGCAGUUUCCAAUUUUAAUUUAGCGAGCAUAUUUAUACUUCUAAUGGAAUUCACUUAUUAACUGACAACAUUGUUUUAGUGUUGAUAAAAGCAUGGAAGUGUUUAUAAUAGUCUGAAACUAUUACAAAUGGGAAAGGAGAAAAAAAGAAUAAAACAAAAACCAAUCUAUGUUACAUCCAGUAAACAUGACUUCGAGGUGAAUAUUUUGUAUUUUUAUUUUUAACAGCUUUAUGGAGCUAUAAAUCACAUGCCAUACAAUUCACAAACUUAAAGUACACAAUUCAAUGGUUUUCAGUAAUGUUACUUUUAUUAAUUUUUAAUUUUUAAAACAGUGGUAUAUAUCACAUAAAAUUUGCCAUUUUAACCAUUUCAAGUAUACAAUUCAAUGCCAUUAAUUCCACUCACAGUGUUGUGCUACCAUUACCACUAUUUCCAAAAUGUUUUUAUAACUCUGAACUGAAGCUCCAUGGCCAGUGAGCAUUAACACCCCAUUCCCCUCCAACCAAUCCCAGGUAAAUUCUGAUUUACCUUCUGUCUUUAUGAGACUCGAGGUACCUCACCUAAGUGGAAUCAUACAGUAUUUGUCCUUUUGUGUUUGGCUUAUUUCACUUAGCAUAAUGUUUUCAAGAUUCAUCCAUAUUGUAGUAUGUAUCAGAAGUUUAAUCAUUUUUAUUGCUGAAUAAUAUUCCCUUGCAUGUAUAUGUCACAUUUUGUUUAUUCAUUCACCUGUUGAUGGAAAUUUGGGUAGUUUCCAUCUUUUCACUAUUGUGAAUACUGCUAUGGGGAACAUUGCUGCAUGAAUAUCUGUUUAAGUCUCUAUUUUGAUUCUUCGAGGUAUAUAACUAGGAGUUGAAUUGAUAGAACACACGGUAACUCUUUUUUAACUUUUGAGGAACUGCCAAACUGUUUUUGAUAGUGCUGCACCAUCUUACAUUCCCACCAACAAUGUGUGAGGGUUUCUAUUUCUCCUCAUCCUCAUCAACACUUGUUAUUUUCAGUUUUUAAAUUAUUAUUAUUAUUGCUAUCUCAGUGGAUGUGAAUUGGUAUGUAAUUGUGGUACUGAUUUUCAUUUCCCUAAUGACUAGUGAUGUUGAACAUCUUUUUAUGUUCAACUAUAUGUAAUCUUCUUUGAAGAAAUGACUAUUCUAGUCCUUUGCCCAUUUUGAAAUUGGGUUGUCUUUUUGUUCUUAAGUUGUAUGGAUUUUUAUAUAUUCUGGAUAUUAAACUUUUAUCAGAUACGUACUUUUGAAUAUUUUCUACCAUUUUGUAGAUUGUCUUUUCACUUUCUUGAUAAUGUCUUUUGUUGCACAAAAGUUUUUGAUUUUGAUAAAGUCCAAUUUACUUAUUUAUUUUUUGUUGUUGCUUGUGCUUUUGGUGUCAUAUUUAAGAAAGAAUCAAUUUCCAAAUCCAAGAUCAUGAAGAUUUACCACUAUGUUUUCUUUUAAAUGCAUUAUGGCUUUUGCUCUUACAUGUAGCUCCUUGAUCCAUUUUGAGCUAAUUUCUGUAUGUGGUGUGAAGUAGGGGGUCCAUCUGCAUUCUUUUGCAUUGCAAAAUCCAGUUGUCCCAAUAUCAUCUACUGAAGAGACUAUUUGAUCCCCAUUGGAUGGACUUGGCAUUGUUGUCAAGCAUCAAUUCAUGACAGAUGUAUAGGAUUAUAUUUGAAUUUUCAAUUCAGUUCAAUUCAAUUGAUCUAUAUGUCUGUUCUCAUGCCUCAUGCCGAUACCACACUGUUUUGUUUACUGUACUUUUGUAGUAAAUUCUGAAAUUUGGAAGUUUGAGUUCUCCAACAUUGUUUUGGCUAUUUGGUACCCUUGCAAUUUAUAAAUUUGAGAAGAGGUUUUUCACUUUUGCAAAAAUGGCUGUUGGAAUUUUCGAUAGAGAUUGCCUUGAAUCUGCAGGUUGCUGUAUUAGUCUGUUCUCAUGCUGCUGUGAAGAAAUACCUGAGCCUGGGUAAUUUAUAAAGGAAAGAGGUUUAAUUGACUCACAGUUCCACAGGCCUGGGGAGGCCUCAGGUAACUUACAAUCAUGGCAGAAGGGGAAGCAAAUAUGCCCUUCUUCACACAGUGGCAGCCAGAAGUGCAGAGCAAAAGCCGGAAAAGCCCCGUCUAAAGCCAUCAGACCUUGUGAGAACUUACUCACUAUCCUGAGAAUAGCAGCAUGAGGGUAACCACCCCCAUGCUUAGAUUACCUCCCACUAGGUCCCUCCCACGGCUUGUGGGGAUUAUGGAAACUAGAAUUCAAGAUGAGAUUUGGGUGGGGACAUGGAGCCAAACCAUAUGAGUUGCUUUAGUUAGUAUUAACGUCUCGACAAUAUUGUCCUCCUUUCCAUGAACUUAGUGUGUCAUUCCAUUUAGUUAGGUCUUAUUUAAUUUCUUUCAAUAAUGCUUUGUGAUUUUAAGUGUAUAAAUCUUUCACCUCAUUGGUUAAAUUUAUUCCCAGGUAUUUUAUUCUUUUAGAUGCUAUUGUCAACAGAAUUGCCUUCAAGAUUCCUUUUCUGAUUGUUCAUUGCUGAGAUGACAUCUCACUAUAUUGCCCAGGCUGGUCUUGAACUUCUAGCCUCAAGCAAUCCUCCCACCUCAGCCUCUGAACGUACUGGAAUUACAGAUGGAGCAACUGAGAUUCUUCCCCAACUAGACUAUAAGUUCUCUGAGGGAUAAGGAACAUGUCUGGUUUCCUCAUCUCUCUGUCACAGCACCCUGUGAAUGCCUAGAAGACAGUAAGAAUCAACUGAAUGUUUGUAGAAAGAAUAACGAUACUUACCUAUAGUCUAAAGGUUUAGUGAUGAAAUGAAGUCCACUAACUUCUCUCUGCUUACUUCCACCCUCAAUAACAUAUUUCCUCAAACCCCACAGAGGAAAGACAAUUCAUUUUUUACUAUUGUUUAAUAGAGCCAUGUUUGUAUGUAGCUUCCUGUUCCGCUUAGCCCAAGACAUUAAGUGGGUCAGGAGUAAACUCUGCCCUCUGUUUUUUUCCAUUCCUUUGUCACCUGCUCAAGUGGCAGCCCAGAGCCGCUUGGCGGCUUCCCUGAAGAUGAGCAGAGUGCAGUAGAUUAGGCAUGGCCUUUCUAUCUAUUUCUACUAUGGAGAAGCUGAAAAAGCUAUAUGGCUGGAAAAAAAUCACCUUGGUACUAAUUUGCUAUUUUACAAUAUUUGAAAAUAAAGACCUGUGGUCUUCCUAUGUAUUUCUUUUUAAACAAUGAGGGGUAUGGAACAUCUAUGAAUAAACAUCAA
This is a long non-coding RNA of Homo sapiens (human), 3298 nucleotides long. NCBI's taxonomy places the organism in Eukaryota, Metazoa, Chordata, Mammalia, Primates, Hominidae. The record is from Ensembl.